Molecule: ribosomal RNA, 468 nt
Filed under: uncultured bacterium
Lineage: Bacteria
Description: partial 16S ribosomal RNA
Rfam family: Bacterial small subunit ribosomal RNA
Source: RNAcentral
GACGAACGCUGGCGGCGUGCUUAACACAUGCAAGUCGAACGGAAAGGCCCUGCUUUUGUGGGGUGCUCGAGUGGCGAACGGGUGAGUAACACGUGAGUAACCUGCCCUUGACUUUGGGAUAACUUCAGGAAACUGGGGCUAAUACCGGAUAGGAGCUCCUGCUGCAUGGUGGGGGUUGGAAAGUUUCGGCGGUUGGGGAUGGACUCGCGGCUUAUCAGCUUGUUGGUGGGGUAGUGGCUUACCAAGGCUUUGACGGGUAGCCGGCCUGAGAGGGUGACCGGCCACAUUGGGACUGAGAUACGGCCCAGACUCCUACGGGGGGCAGGAGUGGGGAAUAUUGCACAAUGGGCGGAAGCCUGAUGCAGCAACGCCGCGUGCGGGAUGACGGCCUUCGGGUUGUAAACCGCUUUCGCCUGUGACGAAGCGUGAGUGACGGUAAUGGGUAAAGAAGCACCGGCUAACUACGUG